ACAAGAGUUCUCGAAACUGCUCCUUCUUUUUUUUUUUUGUGUUCUCUCUUUCUUUCCCUCAAUCUCUUGCGAGUUCCACUAUGAGUUCCACUAUGUCCCCAGGGAUAGGUAGCCAGGCAUCGGCUUCACCCCCUCAUCGGAGAACUACUGGUCCUAUAAGGCGAGCAAGGGGUGCUUGGACAGCAGAGGAGGAUGAGACAUUAAGGAAUGCUGUUGCAGCCUU
Long non-coding RNA from Arachis duranensis, 223 nucleotides. RefSeq lists it as uncharacterized. The transcript is spliced from 3 exons. Lineage: Eukaryota; Viridiplantae; Streptophyta; Magnoliopsida; Fabales; Fabaceae. The record is from RefSeq and is a predicted model, not a curated record.